Molecule: ribosomal RNA, 506 nt
Filed under: uncultured bacterium
Lineage: Bacteria
Description: partial 16S ribosomal RNA
Rfam family: Bacterial small subunit ribosomal RNA
Source: RNAcentral
AGUGAACGCUGGCGGUAGGCCUAACACAUGCAAGUCGAACGGCAGCACAGGAGAGCUUGCUCUCUGGGUGGCGAGUGGCGGACGGGUGAGGAAUACAUCGGAAUCUACUUUUUCGUGGGGGAUAACGUAGGGAAACUUACGCUAAUACCGCAUACGACCUACGGGUGAAAGCAGGGGACCUUCGGGCCUUGCGCGAUUGAAUGAGCCGAUGUCGGAUUAGCUAGUUGGCGGGGUAAAGGCCCACCAAGGCGACGAUCCGUAGCUGGUCUGAGAGGAUGAUCAGCCAAGCUGGAACUGAGACACGGGCCAGACUCCUACGGGAGGCAGCAGUGGGGAAUAUUGGACAAUGGGCGCAAGCCUGAUCCAGCCAUACCGCGUGGGUGAAGAAGGCCUUCGGGUUGUAAAGCCCUUUUGUUGGGAAAGAAAUCCAGCUGGCUAAUACCCGGUUGGGAUGACGGUACCCAAAGAAUAAGCACCGGCUAACUUCGUGCCAGCCGCCGCAGUAA